Molecule: transfer RNA, 75 nt
Filed under: Candidatus Magasanikbacteria bacterium CG10_big_fil_rev_8_21_14_0_10_43_6
Lineage: Bacteria; Candidatus Magasanikiibacteriota
Description: tRNA-OTHER
Rfam family: tRNA
About the family: Transfer RNA (tRNA) molecules are approximately 80 nucleotides in length.
Source: RNAcentral
GGGGAGAUCGUCUAGUGGGAAGACGCUGGGGUUUAUACCCUAUGUACGCGGGUUCAAUUCCCGUUCUCUCCAUCA